RNAcentral lists this ribosomal RNA (372 nucleotides) under Triticum aestivum (bread wheat). RNAcentral's name for it is "partial small subunit ribosomal RNA". Lineage: Eukaryota; Viridiplantae; Streptophyta; Magnoliopsida; Poales; Poaceae. The record is from RNAcentral.
AUGGCAGCUCUCAGCCACCUGCUUGACAACAAGGCCCAGGGUGUUGGGUUCGUUGCCAUGGCCGAUGCUCACGGGGGCAAGUGGUAUGCCCUAUUCAUCGGUAAGGUCCCAGGGGUUUAUAGUUCAUGGGAAGAAGCCAGUGCACAAGUGGCAUCGUAUAGCAACAACACCCAUAGAGGGUUCAAGACUAGGCAGGCAGCAAAACAAGCUUACUCCGAGUGGGUGCGAAAGCACAGCAGCACUGUUGACAGUCGCAAGGUUGGAGGUGUCAAGGUGGAUCGUCAGUUUGGGCUGAAGCUGAAGAACUUCAUCAUCUUCGCCCAAUUCAUCGCCAUUGCUAUGAUGUGGCGUUGGUGUGCUAGGUGUGGGUAA